This 372-nucleotide ribosomal RNA is filed under the name Triticum aestivum (bread wheat). Its description in RNAcentral is "partial small subunit ribosomal RNA". Lineage: Eukaryota; Viridiplantae; Streptophyta; Magnoliopsida; Poales; Poaceae. The record is from RNAcentral.
AUGCACUUAGAAGAUUACAACUGUGCCCUUUGUGCAGAUUCCACUGAGGAAACCAACACUCAUCUUUUUUGGGAUUGCCAAUUUGCUGGCUACUGCUGGAAUAGAGUUGUUCCUGCUAAGCAUAGAGGUACUUCUACCUAUAAUGAGGUUCUUUUCACUCUCAGUACGCUGCCUAAGAAUAUUGCAAUGGAAGUGGUGAUUAUGGGCUGUUGGAGCAUCUGGAUGAUCAGAAAUGAUAAAAUCUUCAGAAAGGCACCGAUGAGUUAUGGAUCCUGGAAACAUUAUCUCCGAGAAGGCAUGGAAAUGACUAGACUUAGAGCAAAGCAAAAGAAGGCUGAUUUGAUUACCAGUUGGAUAGAGCAUAAUCUCUAA